Molecule: ribosomal RNA, 1907 nt
Filed under: Triticum aestivum (bread wheat)
Lineage: Eukaryota; Viridiplantae; Streptophyta; Magnoliopsida; Poales; Poaceae
Description: partial small subunit ribosomal RNA
Source: RNAcentral
GCGGGUGGAGGGGGACUGGGGCGGGGGUGGGCCGCAGCGGCGGGCGCGGUUGAAGACCACUCAGUGGCCGGGGCGGGGGAGGGUGAGGGCGGGGCGGCCGUUCGGCCCGCGGCGGCGUCGGGGUGGGGACGGCCGCUGCGGUGGUGUCGGGGCUGGGGUUGGCUACUGCGCGGUGUGGUGGACGGCCUCGUGGAACCCCAGCGGCCUAGGCCGCUCCUAGGAAGUGGUGGGAGGUGAGAAGCCGCUGGUGGUCGGGCGCACGCCUACCCCACGAUAGGACGUCUAGCUCCUCCGCAGUUUGAAGUCUACCUCCUCCGGUGUUGGACGUCGACCGGCGCACGGUACCAGUCCGCAGCGGCAGUAGGAGGCAGUGCGACCCGUGGAGGACUCGCAACCUCACUUCUCGCUCGUGCGAGUGGGACUAGGUUAGACGUCGUCGUGGGGCUCAGGAGGGUUUCGUCGGGUCUCGGCAAGUUCAUACGUCGGGACCCGGUAAGUUACUGCCUCGACGGCUGGUAAGCACUUCUGUUGUGGGACCUAGGACGAACGGGUGGUAGUUCAAGUUGAAGACAACUUAGGACAUUUCCCUCUGAAUAACACUCUCGCUAGGGCGUAAUUGAAAAAAAGCAAGUUUUAACACAAUCGAUGAAGGCGAAGUCGAUCGGACACAUACAUCGAUGGUUCCACCGUACGUAAGUCGGACAGACACACUGGUGUACAGCGCUCCACGAUAGAUUGACUUUGCUAAAUACAUGUGAUCCUAGAGGUACAUGACUUGUACAAUUUUUUCUAUAUAGUACAUAUAAGAGGAGGACAAACAAAGAACACCAUAAAGUUCGGCGGUGAUGGUAAUCGUAAAAAACAGACUACCAGGUGCAGAAUAUUCACACGUGAGAUUUUUUUGUCUUAAAAUACGUUAUGAUCGUUUGUCAUUCGCUUGAAGAGGUAAAUGUAAGAGGAUUUCUUCAUACAUAAAAAAUUUAAUUAGAUCUUCAAGUUUCUAAUAUCAGGUCUCUCGAGUUAGUAACCUAAAACCCUUCUUAAGUAGAAUGACUAUUUAUUACUUAUCUCUUUUUUUUAUGUUUUAUCCAAAACCCAGUCAUGAUUUAUCCAAUCCUUAACAAACCGCAACCACCCCACAACCUCGCAAUGAUGAUGAACCAAGUGAAGGUAAAGUUUCCAGAACGAACUUCUAUAGAAACUUCAGUAUUGGUGUCAACAGAACUAAAGUUUAUCGCUAGGUACCCAACUCUAUACUUCGACUUGAACAACAAUACGGAGAUUUGUAGAUGGAGAAAGGACAUCCACAACUAGGACCACGAACAGUGCUAAGUGCUCCUUUCUAUCAGCCAGAAACUUGCCCACUCACUAGAACGACAACGACCCUACGAUAAGGUGUACCCCUAAACUAGAGGGAACUCCACGUCACAUCUCUCUAUAUACGACGACGGUGAAAACCUAAAUAACAUCUGUACCAGUGAGUUCGAGUUAUAACUAAUCAGGAAGGGGAUCUAGAAAGGGAUGUACGAGACAUCCAGUAGUCAUUCUUGUUUUUCAUAUGGAUAUUCGACGUACACAAAUAAGGUGUUUUAUUUAAUCAUACCGAUGUGUGCCAACUGACAAGAACUGGUCAAAGACAUCAUUAAACAUACCGACUGUUAAAAGUCGUCAUUAAUUGUACCGACGUCAGACGACACAGACUAAAAGUCGUCCGGUUGUACUAAUUACGAUCACGUUGAGUAGAAGUUUUCACAUGUACCUGCGUUACACCUUAAACAAGGACGACGACAACAAAUCUAUCUAGUGUGAUCUUGUAAAACAUGCUUGGUAAAUAAGUUCACUCUCUCUAUCCGAAGAAGCAUCAAGUAGAUAAAGGACCGUUUUCGUCUUUCACAUUGUUGUAAACA